AUUGGCGUGUGUUGCUGGAAAUGGCAUCUCCCCCUGCACGGCCCCUGCUUUACCUAGUAGCGUGACCAUGAAGCAAUGCACGAGCAGAGAGAUCUCAACAUGCACAGAGUCAGUCUGCUGCUCAUCUCACCAGCGGGAGCGCGUACAGCGUGCACUUAAAGAAAAAAUAUCUGAUUCCCAUCAGCCACAUGCUUCUUUCAACCCCACAGCGCGUCUUUAUUCAUUCGGGCUUCCAGCAACCAGCUGCACUUCAUGGCGAUAGAUAAAGAAAACCCCAUGCGCAAGGAGUUAAUAAGUCAAACAAAGGCAUAUGACUUCCAUAACUUCAUCGCUCAUUAACCGCUGAUGAUCUUCUCCUGUUUCAGAUAUCUUCACCCUGCCUGACAACAGACCGUCAGGAGCUUCACAUGAGAGUCCCGUGUAAGGAGUGAACUAUGGGAGAGAAAGGCCAGUUAUGUCCAUUUAAAUCCCUUAACAAGCACCACAGCAAACAAAAGACAGAUUAGCAUGAUUUACCAUGACCGUAUUAUUAAAUUACCUCAUCUACACAUGAGCCAACAAUUGAGUUACUUUUAUAGAUGUGUGCAGACGGUAUUAUGCAGGCACUGUGUAGGCUAUUCUUUGUUCAUUAAUGGUUUGGUAAACCACAUUUUGUAAGGUCUUGAAUAGAGCUAGCACUGGUUAGACCCAAAAAUUGCACAUUCAGAGGUAUCUUUCAAAACCAAUAUUCCCUAUUAGCAUUAAAGCUAUGCAUGCUAGACAUUGUCUGGGUUUGACUGGGAUGGGAUCUCGUUUAAAAAGCAAUGCAUUUAUAAAAUAUAUUGAUUAUAUUAUGUUGUAUAUUUUAAAAUAACGCUGAUAACUCUCAAACAAUAAAGUGAAAACGAUCAAAA
Molecule: long non-coding RNA, 893 nt
Organism: Cyprinus carpio carpio
Lineage: Eukaryota; Metazoa; Chordata; Actinopteri; Cypriniformes; Cyprinidae
Source: Ensembl